This 1101-nucleotide long non-coding RNA is filed under the name Musa acuminata (dwarf banana). RNAcentral describes it as "long non-coding RNA (MACU_LNC001806)". Lineage: Eukaryota; Viridiplantae; Streptophyta; Magnoliopsida; Zingiberales; Musaceae. The record is from RNAcentral.
ACACUACUGCAGUAGAAGCUGUAGCCGUGCUCUCACUCGAAUGCUCUAUCCAUUGCCAAGAGGUUAUCAUCCAUCAUUAGCUCAUUCGUUUCUUAUUAGGCCAAGAUGAAGUAAAUAUCUCUGCUCAUUUUCUUAAUGAAGUAGUGUUUGAUGAAAGUGCUAGAUUGAUUGAUAUAGAUUUUGUUUUUGGAUCAGAGCCUUCCUUCAUUUAUAGUUUCCAAAGAAAAAAAUAUUUUAUUCAAUUUGAUUGGUUGUCUUAUUUUCCUGCAUUGGCCGGAAUAUUCAAAAAGAAGAUGAAUUUUCAAGACUGUCUUCAGGACAGAGGUAUAGGAAAAUAGAAAGAAAAGCUAAAACUCACUUGAUAAGUAGAUACGGAUAGGCGGAGAUGAUGCACAUCCAAAAAGCUAUCUCAACCGUAGAACUCUUUCCUUCUUUCAUCGAGUCCACAUCAUCAUUUGUGAGGUUUGGGUCCAUCUCUCAUCAAAGUUGUGAGAGAGAAGUUGUACUUUUUUUUAAUAUAAUAAACAUAAUUUUAUAAGAAAAAUUAAUAUAUUCUUGUUAUCAAUUUAAAGUAGGAAACUAAAGCGAUGAUUGCUUGGAAGUUCUUGCAUGACAAACACGAAGGUUGCAGAUUCUUUCUGGAUGCCUUUGACUUGAGGAAUGUUGGUUUUAAGAUUUUUCCAUCAAUUGAGAAGGCAACAAUCUCCUUCUCAUAUAGGCUUCGAUUAAAGGAGUACGGAUGUGAUCGAAACUCCCCAGAGAUUAGGUAAUGAGAUAAUUCCUUGACACACAGGAAUUGCCUUCUCAACACAUGAAAGAAUUCCAUAUAGACAAUGAUUGAAGGAGUUCUACAAUGAUCAAGACUCUUUAGAGAUUGGGUGAUGCGGUAAUUUCAUAACGCACAAGGAGUUGUCCGUAUCUUCUAUCAGUGUAUCUUUGUUCUAACCAUCCAUUUUGGUUGGGGCCCGGCCCGAGUCCUACUUAGACUAGGACUUGGCCAAGUGGUUAGUUGAUAUGGGGCUGACGUGGAUAAAUGAUAUUUUGCUUUAACAACGAGAAUAGUACCUCAAUGGUUGAAAUUUGAUUUGAUUUUGAGAAGCC